Molecule: ribosomal RNA, 253 nt
Filed under: uncultured bacterium
Lineage: Bacteria
Description: partial 16S ribosomal RNA
Rfam family: Bacterial small subunit ribosomal RNA
Source: RNAcentral
GACAGAGGGUGCAAAUGUUGUUCGGAAUUACUGGGCGUAAAGCGCGUGUAGGCGGCCCUGCAAGUCGGAUGUGAAAUCCCACGGCUCAACCGUGGAAGUGCAUUCGAAACUGCAGGGCUAGAGUCCUGGAGAGGAAGGUGGAAUGCUUGGUGUAGAGGUGAAAUUCGUAGAUAUCAAGCGGAACACCGGUGGCGAAGGCGGCCUUCUGGACAGUGACUGACGCUGAGACGCGAAAGCGUGGGGAGCAAACAGG